Long non-coding RNA from Acipenser ruthenus (sterlet), 3344 nucleotides. RefSeq lists it as uncharacterized. NCBI's taxonomy places the organism in Eukaryota, Metazoa, Chordata, Actinopteri, Acipenseriformes, Acipenseridae. The transcript has 2 exons. The record is from RefSeq and is a predicted model, not a curated record.
UUAGCUAUAACACUGGAGUGCCCCAGUGUCUACAUUAAAGGCUAAAGAUCUGGAACGCCUGUUAAUCUUGACUAAUUAAGACAAUAAUUUGGUGCAAUUAAGUAACCGAGAGCUUGGUUGAAAUGAAAACCAGAAGACCCUGUAGCUCUCCAGGACCAGGGUUGGAGACCCCUGAUCUAGAUGGUACAGCACUAUUGCAGUUGCCAUAGCUAAUCCAGCAUCAGGAAUACUGUAUACUACCCUGAAGAAACCCCAGUGAAAACACAAGCACACCACCACAGCAUUACCAGUGAUGGAAAACCUGAUGGAUUUGAAUAUACAGAGAUACAUGUUUGUUCUGUCUGAAAGAGAACAACACUGGCAGCCUCACUGGUACAAAUACCUUGCAGAUCAUUCUUUAGCCUUAAACACAGACCUGCUCAGGCAUGCCCUGAAGGAGACUGACUUUGCUGUGGUUCAAGCAAGGCGUCUUUAGUGCUGGAACACUGCUGGAUUGAGGACAUUUAAAGAUUGACAUCCAUCAAGUACCAAUUCAUAUUGAUUGACUUGGCCACAGUAACACUGAGAUUCCACUGGGUGACUGGAACUAACAAGAGGCGGUCAUUCGAGUCAUCAGGGCCUAUCAUUCAGUGUCAACAACCUGGCUAGGCAACCCAUUCCAUACCCUCACCAUUCUCUGUGUGAACAAGUGUCUCAAAUUCAUUUCCAACUGCGUGAACAAUUUUUCUUUGUUUUAGGAUACAUAAAUUCUUUCAGCUAUUCAUAGCUAUUCAUAGCUUUUGUUCCUUUAGGCAAUUGCAACCAUUGCAUUGCCAUUGAAGGCAAGUGUAAAACAUUACACUGUCUUAUACUUGGGUUUGGUAUUUCAUAAAUACAUCUCUCUUAUUUUCUAUCGUACACGUAUACCACAGGGCGAUGUAUAGGAGUGCUGUUUGCUAUGCAAUUAACAAGCCUCUUUGGUUUUGACAUUGCCAGGGUAGAAAUGUCACACAUUUCUCCUAGAUAGCACAAUUAAUGUAAAAUAAUAUUUUUGGAAAAUAUAUAUAAAAAUGUAUUUGUCUUCAGGCAAUGAAUUGUAUUAUAUAAUUAAUUAGUAUAUAAUGUGUCUAGCGAAGCAAGCAAAAAAAAAAACAAAAAAAAAAAAACCUGUCUUGAUAUAGAUUCAAACAAUGGAACAGCAGGGAGGCAACUGAAUAUGCAAAGACCCAAUUCAAGGUUUUUCAAUUAUAGGUCACACUAGAAAUGUGAAAUUGCGAUGUUGCCUUUUUAUUCGAUUUUUUUCUCCCUUCCUUUCACUGUGUAAGUUGUUUUCAAUUAAGUGUUCUGUUGGUCUAAUAUUGAACUACCAUUUGUCUCUAUAUCUGUCUUGCCUGUGAGUAUUUCUGGCAAAUUCUGCCUGCUUAGGACUGAAUCGACUUCCUUCAAAUCAUGUGACAAAAUGGCCUUUCAACUUGGCUAGUUCAGCAUACUCUCCUUCUCUAUAUGUGGAGUAGGCUGGGGCAGCAGAGUUGAUAAACGGCAUUGUCACAUGAUGUGAAUGGAAUGAGGACGUCUGCUCAGUGCUACAGUUAAAAUGAUCCAGACUGAAAGCCUGAACCAAUACCGGUCUAGCAAAACCUGUCUAAUCCAGCAUUGCUUGGGACCGAAACAACUCUAUUACAGCAGGUACUGUCCAGGUGUACCCUGUAAUUCAAGGAUUGAAUUAAGUAACCCUAAUUCCAUGCACCGGUUUUAUGUACCAUACCUGCAGGAUUUAUAAACUUAGAAAAGAAAAAUCACAUUGAUUUUAGACAAGCAAAUCAAAUCAUGCUGGAUUCCAGAAUAGACAGGUUCUGAAUUGUAGAGGGUACCACACCAUUAAUUUCAAUAGGAAAACCACAUUCACUCUUAAUGCUAUAAAAAAUACAUUUUAAACUACUUGUUUUUAACACUGCAGUGUCAGAAAAUCAUGUUCACUUUUACACUAUAAUAUAAUAUGUUAGUCUCUGUUUACUUCCUUUUUCCAGGCUUUUGUGUGGCCAUAUCAUACCAUCUACACACGAAGCCAUCACUUUAAUUACAGUGUCACUGGUGAGUGAUCAGGCAGUAUCUAUGGAGGGUCUGUUUGUUCUGAAUACAGAUUUGCAUUCCCUCCAAUGGGAAUAGGCUCUUCAAUUUCUUUUUGUAUUCACUUAACCUGUCAGAUCCAGGAAAGAAGAUAGGACUCGAAGUUUCAAAAGACACAUUUUAUUUUUAAUAAAUCAUCAAAACAUCAAACUUUGAGAGGAUAGCGUUUUAAAAGCUGAAGUCAACUGCGUAACAAAGGCAUGCUCAGAGAAUCGUUUGGCUGCUCGAUUGCGUCUCCUAAAGGAUUGGUCUGUAACAGGGGAAGGUAUAAGAUUUUAGAUUUCUUGACAGUCCUUGGGUUAUUAUUGUAUGGUUCGUUUUUUCAAUUUGUGUCAGAUGAUAUCAGAGAGAAAAAUAAUUCAACUGAUGCGAGAUCAAAAUGCCAUUGCCAGGAACUGAUAAUAUAUAAUAAAAUAUAUUAUUUAAAACAUUUCAAGAACGACAACAAAGGUGUCGACGGCUACAAGUCACAUGAAAUGCUGAAUUUUCAAUACUUUUGGUUUGUAUAUAAAAACAUGUUAUCAAUACUAUGUCCGUAUUCAAAGUGACUUUCAGAGAGGAAAACAAGCCAUUGACUCUAGUGUGGAUUGUGACUGAAUAAUCCCAAUCAGUAGACCUUUACUUCCUGUAAUUCAUUAUGAACUCCCAGUUGCUCCUUGUUGUUUUCAUGAUAGAGAACUAGCUCAGAACUCGAAGCAGCAAGUACAAAUAAAUGAUUACAAACUGAUUUCGGUAUUUGGCGCAUUAAUCUCGAUCCGAUCUGUGCAGUUUGAGUGCAAGAUGCCAAAUUAAAUCUGAAUAUGUAUUAAUGUCUUAGUUGUUUUUGCAGUGGGUCUCUCCUUGUUCAAUUUGGCUGGUUUUGUUUUACAGUGGUGGCUGGCUGCUGGAAGGUCUGUAGCUAACAGUCCUCUCAGUUUCCAGACCCUCUUUUUUCAGACUGUCUGCCAUCCUGGAGACCUCGCUGGCCAUUCGCAAGCCUUCCGUAGGACAACACGUCUCUGAUGCAGUGAAGGGACAGAAGACACAACACUGAGUUACUGAGGAGCAGCUUAGCAGACGAUGGACAAACAUACAGCACAACUGGACUUUAAAAUACUGUUUAUGACAAUUGAAAACUCUCCACCAUUCACUUUCAUUGGGAUUCCUGCGAAAACACGACACGGUACACAUGUGUUACAAAACGCCUGCUGUUCACUUGGUAAAUUGUUUUGAGUACAAUAAAAAAGCUUGACUCCCUC